CUUGGAUAGUUUAUAAAAAAUACUAGUUUGUGGGGCUAGGGAAGCGUUAUUGUUUCAAGUAUUGUUAAGU
RNAcentral lists this transfer RNA (70 nucleotides) under Sagra femorata. RNAcentral describes it as "tRNA-His". The record is from RNAcentral. Lineage: Eukaryota; Metazoa; Arthropoda; Insecta; Coleoptera; Chrysomelidae.